Molecule: unclassified non-coding RNA, 195 nt
Filed under: uncultured Phlebia
Lineage: Eukaryota; Fungi; Basidiomycota; Agaricomycetes; Corticiales; Corticiaceae
Description: sequence contains ITS1
Source: RNAcentral
ACGAGUUUUGAAAUGGGUUGUAGCUGGCCUCACGAAGGCAUGUGCACACCCUGCUCAUCCACUCUCAUACCCCUGUGCACCUAUUGUAGGCUUGGUGGGAAGACUGGUGUCACAGCCAGUUGGAAAGCCUUGCCUAUGUUUCAACACAAACGCUUCAGUUUUAGAAUGUCACUUUUGCGUCUAACGCAUGAAAUA